Molecule: ribosomal RNA, 384 nt
Filed under: uncultured bacterium
Lineage: Bacteria
Description: bacterial SSU rRNA
Rfam family: Bacterial small subunit ribosomal RNA
Source: RNAcentral
GAUGAACGCUGGCGGCGUACCUAACGCAUGCAAGUCGAACGGGGAAGUCAAUGUAGCAAUACAAAGAUUUUCUAGUGGCAAACGGGUGAGUAACACGUAGGCAUCUACCUCGAAGUGGGGAAUAACGGCUCGAAAGGGUCGCUAAUACCGCAUGGGCUAUUCUGAAAGGGAUAGCAAAGGUUAGUUCGUAAGAACCAAUCGCUUUGAGCGGAGCCUGCGGUCGAUCAGGUCGUUGGAGAGGUAACGGCUCCCCAAGCCUUUGACCGAUAGCUGUUCUGAGAGGAAGACCAGCCACACUGGGACUGUGACACGGCCCAGACUCCUACGGGAGGCAGCAGCGAGGAAUAUUGCACAAUGGAGGAAACUCUGAUGCAGUAACGCCGC